Choloepus didactylus (southern two-toed sloth) is the source of this 116-nucleotide small nuclear RNA. RefSeq annotates it as U5 spliceosomal RNA. The transcript has a single exon. The record is from RefSeq and is a predicted model, not a curated record. NCBI's taxonomy places the organism in Eukaryota, Metazoa, Chordata, Mammalia, Pilosa, Megalonychidae.
AUGCUCUGGCUUCUCUUGAAAUCACAUAUAUCUUUCACCUUUUACUAAAGAUUUCUGUGGAGGGAAAUCUUCAUGAGUUCCUUAGCAAUUUUUUUAGGUCUUUCUUUCAUAAGGCU